Molecule: ribosomal RNA, 284 nt
Filed under: uncultured Pseudomonas sp.
Lineage: Bacteria; Pseudomonadati; Pseudomonadota; Gammaproteobacteria; Pseudomonadales; Pseudomonadaceae
Description: partial 16S ribosomal RNA
Rfam family: Bacterial small subunit ribosomal RNA
Source: RNAcentral
GCAACCCUUGUCCUUAGUUACCAGCACGUUAUGGUGGGCACUCUAAGGAGACUGCCGGUGACAACCGGAGGAAGGUGGGGAUGACGUCAAGUCAUCAUGGCCCUUACGGCCUGGGCUACACACGUGCUACAAUGGUCGGUACAAAGGGUUGCCAAGCCGCGAGGUGGAGCUAAUCCCAUAAAACCGAUCGUAGUCCGGAUCGCAGUCUGCAACUCGACUGCGUGAAGUCGGAAUCGCUAGUAAUCGUGAAUCAGAAUGUCACGGUGAAUACGUUCCCGGGCCUU